AGGUAGAAUUUAAAUUUUAAGAGUAAUGUUGUUAUUUAGUAAAAUGUUUUGAAGCUAUAAAGAUUUGGGUUUAAACCGGGAUUAGAUACCCUGUUAUACCAUUUUUAAAUGUCUGUCGCUUGAGUAGUAGUAGUUAGGGGCUUGAAACUUAAAGAAUUUGGCAGUACUUAAGACUAGUUAGAGGAACCUGUGCCGUAAACGACGUAACACGAAAUAUUUUACUUUACUUUGUAUUCAGUUUGUAUACCGCCAUUAUGAGGUAAUAUUAAUAAAUAUUUGUUGAAAUAUCUUUUUGUUAGUAUAUUAGGUCAAGGUGCAGUUAAUAGUAAAGUGGUCAUGGGUUACAAUAUUUUAAAAGUAAAUGGAUAUUAUUUUGAAAAAGUAUUUAAAGGUGGAUUUAAUUGUAAUAUUAUUUUAGUAAGUUAAUUUGAUAUAGCUCUUAUAGUAUGUACACAUUGCCCGUCGCUCUCAUGGUAAAAUGAGAUA
This 486-nucleotide ribosomal RNA is filed under the name Urocaridella urocaridella. RNAcentral describes it as "partial small subunit ribosomal RNA". Lineage: Eukaryota; Metazoa; Arthropoda; Malacostraca; Decapoda; Palaemonidae. The record is from RNAcentral.